RNAcentral lists this transfer RNA (87 nucleotides) under Deltaproteobacteria bacterium. Its description in RNAcentral is "tRNA-Leu". It matches the Rfam family "tRNA". Rfam says of the family: Transfer RNA (tRNA) molecules are approximately 80 nucleotides in length. Their secondary structure includes four short double-helical elements and three loops (D, anti-codon, and T loops). Lineage: Bacteria; Pseudomonadati; Myxococcota; Myxococcia. The record is from RNAcentral.
GCCGAAGUGGUGGAAUUGGUAGACACGCUAGGUUCAGGGUCUAGUGGGGGUCCCCCCGUGGGAGUUCAAGUCUCCCCUUCGGCACCA